Molecule: long non-coding RNA, 1125 nt
Filed under: Balaenoptera musculus (blue whale)
Lineage: Eukaryota; Metazoa; Chordata; Mammalia; Artiodactyla; Balaenopteridae
Description: lncRNA (ENSBMSG00010006906.1)
Source: RNAcentral
GGGGUCCGCGGGGGUACAAGGCCAGGCGUUUACAAGCGAGCAGGAGGAGGAGGAGGAGGAGGAGGAGGAGGAACGGGCGGCGCGGAGGGGCGCGAGGCGGCCGGGGCGGGGCUCCACGAGCGUCACGGGCCGGGGGCGGGGCCGGGGGCGCGCUCCGACCCGCCCGCGGCCCCACCUUCUACUUAGCCCAGGCUUUGGAGUCGAGACCGGAGGGACCCGGGCUAGGAGUUUCAACGACCUCCCGCCCCCAGUGACUGUCAGGCUGCCCUAGUGCAGAGCCGUCCCUUGAGCAGAAGGGCGGGAGUCCGGAGCUGGGGAUGGGGUGACAGCCGGCGCCCGCGGGGGACCUCAGAGAGUGGCGAGGGUGUGUGCGUGCGCUCCGGGCCGGCGGCCGCUGCAGGUGCACGCGCGCCCCUACACGCCUGCCCGCGCUCGGGAGCUCCCGCGCCACUCCCGGGCCGGGGCCGGAGUCGGGAGCAGGAUGGGGGAGCCCCGAGCAGGGAGCGGGACAAGUGGCGAGAGUCUUUACCUGAGAAGGCGGGCUUGGGAGAAGUUGGGGGCUACAGGGCGGGCGAAAUUCGAGAGAGCCAUCGAAGCCUGGUGGGCGGGCUGGUGGGGGCCGAGGGCGGCGGGGCCCCGCGGGGUAUAAAUAGCCGGCCCGGGUUUGACAGGCGCGGCGGUGACUGGCGGUGCCGCCCCCCCCCGCCGCGUGGGGAGGGGAGGAGCGCUCGGAGCGGGCGGGGUUGGGGAGGCGGACUCGACUGUCCUGUUGGCGGCGGCUGGAGGCCGAGGGGGAGGAGCCGAGGCGGGGGGUGGAGGGAGGGGGCCGGGAGCGGGGCGAGGGCGGGGGCCACCAUUGCUCCCCGCGCCGGGCUCAGUGUCGCCGCCGUCGCCUCGGCGGUUGGGGAGGGUGGUCGGCGGGGCGGCGCGGGCGGGGGGCUCUGCGCGGGGCGGCGCGCCGCUGUUUUGUCUCCUCCUCUCCCAGUGGAGCGGCUCGGGCAGCCGGGGAGGCCCCGGCUCCCUCCGGACGCCCGGCCAACGGCGGCGGCGGCGGCGGCUAGUCCGCGGCCCUGCCGGGAGGGAAGGCGACGCGGCGGUCUUCCCGGGCGACGCGGAGAACAGUAG